GUCCGACUCCUCCGACUCUUCCUUGGCUUCAACCUUAGCUGGGGCUGCAGCAGCAGCAGGAGCAGCUGUGGUGUCAGCAGCCACAGGGGCAGCAGCCACAAAGGCAGAUGGAUCAGCCAAGAAGGCCUUGACAUUUUCAGCAAGUGGGAAGGUGUAAUCCGUCUCCACAGACAAGGCCAGGACUCGUUUGUACCCGUUGAUGAUAGAAUGGGGUACUGAUGCAACAGUUGGGUAGCCAGUCUGCAGACAGACACUGGCAACAUUGCGGACACCCUCCAGGAAGCGAGAAUCACUCAGGAUUUCAAUGGUGCCCCUGGAGAUUUUAGUGGUGAUACCUAAAGCCUGGAAAAAGGAGGUCUUCUCGGGCCCGAGACCAGUGUUCUGGGCUGGCACAGUGACUUCACAUGGGGCAAUGGCACCAGCACGGGCAGCAGCUGGCACCUUAUUGGCCAGCAACAUGUCCCUGAUCUCAGUGAGGUCCUCCUUGGUGAACACAAAGCCCACAUUCCCCCAGAUAUGAGGCAGCAGUUUCUCCAGAGCUGGGUUGUUUUCCAGGUGCCCUCGGAUGGCCUUGCGCAUCAUGGUGUUCUUGCCCAUCAGCACCACGACCUUCCCGCGAAGGGACAUGCGGAUCUGCUGCAUCUGCUUGGAGCCCACAUUGUCUGCUCCCACGAUGAAACAUUUUGGAUAAUCAUCCAAUAGUUGGAUGAUCUUAAGGAAGUAGUUGGACUUCCAGGUCGCCCUGUCUUCCCUGGGCAUCACGGCGGUGCGUCAGGGAUUGCCACGCAGGGUUUAAAGACGAUGUCACUUCCACGAGGAUGCCUGGCGAGAGAAGC
This 836-nucleotide long non-coding RNA is filed under the name Homo sapiens (human). RNAcentral's name for it is "non-protein coding lnc-HNRNPLL-6:1". Lineage: Eukaryota; Metazoa; Chordata; Mammalia; Primates; Hominidae. The record is from RNAcentral.